Molecule: microRNA, 17 nt
Filed under: Corchorus olitorius
Lineage: Eukaryota; Viridiplantae; Streptophyta; Magnoliopsida; Malvales; Malvaceae
Description: hsa-miR-44
Source: RNAcentral
AAGACUGAAAGGAUGGA